CUAUUUAAGGGGCCGCCUGACGUCAGCGCCGCCCGGAGCCCCCGCGAUCGCUCGGCGGGGCCGGGGCCGGAGCCGGGGCCGGGACCGGCCUCGCUCUCCCGCCGCGUCGGGACCCGGAGCGGCGCCGGGGGCUGCCCGCGGACGUCCCGCCCCGCCGGCUCUGCCCUGCCCUGCCCGGGCGCGGAGCGGCCGCGCUCCCGGUGCGAGCCGCUGGACCCCGGCACCGGGGGGACCCACAGCGCCGCGCCCCCCUUUCAGUCCCGUCCUCCCGCCGGCAGAGCCGGGAGGAGCAGGGACAGGGAGCCACCGCGCCUCGGCGGCUGGAGGCUGGCCCGGGGCAGGGCCGGCCGUCUGCACAGGGCCCCGGGCCGGGAGCACGGCUCGGCGCUGGGUCGCGGUGGGCCCGGAGCGAGGAGCCACCGGUUCGGGAGCCGGGAAGACUGGGCUCGAAGCUGCGGGAACACAAGGCGCGGGCAGAGCCGGCAGCAGGCUGGGUAAGGCGUUGGCAGCGAGGCAAGGUGUCCCUCCAGCAAGGUGUCCUUCGAGCUCCCGGGGAGCCUCCUUCCCGGGCGCCUGAGCAGCCCCGGCCCCGCGGCAUGCACUCUGAGGGAGGGGACAAGAGCGAGGAGGGGCCGCCCCGCACGGCGGCAGUGAUUUCUGGCCUCAGCAAGGGCAGAAGGAGCAGCCGUCAGCUGAAAGAAGAAGACGCAAGAAUUACAUUUCUCUGCCAGGUUGGAGAUGCUUAGUCUACAAACUGUGAUGGCCUAAAAGCAGGAUGACCCAGGAAAACCACACGGUUGUUGCAGGAUAUGGAUGCAGACUGUGGCUUCAUCCCCGGCCCUCUGGCUCCCUCCACUUGACACGCUUCCUUUCCUCUCGCACCCUGGCAGCUCAGGCUUCUGCUUGGUUGCUCGUGCUAAAGCCAAGAGACUGUGUGCAGCACCACUUAAACAUUAAGAGUCACUGCCCCUGCUUUCUCAGCACAGAAAGCUUGUUCAGCUGCGGAAAACUACUUGUCUUGUUACUUGGGAAGAAGGACGGUAAUAGAACAAGACAGGCAAAAAGCGGCAGCCCAACAGAAACAAAGAUACUGCGAGCUCCCUGGCAGCAGGGUGGGGAUGAGGUUUCCUCUUGUGCAGCGCCCAGGAACUCAGUGCAGAUGUAACAAGAUAGAGAAGGCCGCUGAAAAGCAGUGCCCUCUGCAGCCUCUUUUGCCUGUGCUUGUGUGGGAGCAACAAAAUUGGACCUCACUGGCAGUGUAAAAAUAGUUACUUGAGGAACAAAGUGUCUGAUGGAUCAGGAGAGCUCUGGAAUGAUAGGAAGAGGUUGGUCCCUUGUGGGAACAACCUCAUCGUCCUGGCAGGGUGAAGUGGUCCACAGGGGCUUUCCGUUUGGGGCACUGUGUGCCGUGUUUGGUGCUCUGUCCAACAGCAGCUUCUGCCAGGGAGAAGGGGCCAGAGCAGAGGCUCGGACACCAGCAGCUCCGUGCAGAUCACAGUGGAAAACAGCAGCGUGCAUCCCGUGUCAGCCUGAAGGAGUCAACAGACGUUGGGUUAUUCCUGGCUGGUGUAAACCCACCCACGUCUGGUACUUCUCUGGGCUGGGCACCUUCCGCUUGAGCUGGUGCUGUUCUGAGCGAGGAGGGAGCACCAAUGGAGCCCCUGCCCUGGCUUCAGCACCUUGGCCUGGGCAGAUGGCAGCGGGACAGGAGCACGGAGCAAGGGAACCGAGGGGCUGGGUGCUGGCAGGUUCCUUUUCCAGGGCCAGAAGGCAUCAAUCACUCAGCUCUGCUCCAUGACAGACUGCCACAGGAAAUCUGUGGAAAAGUUGCUUUUUCCAUUUUUAGCCGUUUUAUUGCCUCCACGUGGUGAUCCAGCCUCGGCAGCAAACACACUGCCUAGGCAUGAACAUUAGAGGCGCCUGGAUAAAUAAAGCUGGUGUGGAUGCCUAGACACCUCCAGGUUUCUCUGCUUUGCAAGGGAGAAAUGUUUUGUAAAGCUGACAAUUUUGCUUUCAGUCUCUGUAUCUUUGCAGGGCAUGUUUUUUCCAUGACAUGUUUGCUGUUUACACCGAGCUCCACAUAAACAACAGCUUUCUGGUGUUCUCAGCACACCCUCGCCCUGCCACCUGUGCAAGUGGGAGCCCCGCUGGUCAGCCCCAAUCCUGCUCUCCCUGGUGGGGCUGGAGCCCUGGCCCUGUGCUGCGGAGCUGCCCUGGUGGGCAGGGAGACGGAGCCCUGAUGGCUGCAGGAGAUGCCCUGCUGCCCGCCUGCUGCCUCGCAGCGUGGCACUGGGGGGAUGAGCACCAUGAGCGCCAGAGCAGGUCCUGCCUCCCAGCCCUUCCUCCCCACCUUUACCCCUUUCCAAAUUGAGCUGGCACUUGCUGUUGGCUGCCAGCCUUGUGCCUUUCACCUUUGUCUUCUUUUCCCCAUCUGUUUGCCCCUUUUAGUGGCUCGCUCUCCGCCUUACCUCUGCUUUGUUCCUGGCUGUCUUUCCAAGGUGAUCUUUCUCAGCUUUCCUCCUUCACUUCUCCCAGGCUCGCUGAUCUCCCGUGUUGUGGUGGGAUUUACCAAAGCAGCUGAAGACCGCUCUGCCUUGCCCUGCAUUAAGUCUUCCCAUACCAAGUCCCGUCCCUCCCCAGUCUCUCCCAUACUGGUUGUCCUUCAUUGCAUGGCCCUGGGUGUCAGACUGCCCCAGGAGAGUCCAUGGCAUGCCUCCCCUCCCCUGCUGUCCCCUUGCACAGGGCAGCACCAGCUCACGGGAUCAUGGGGGCAGGACUCGUGGGGCAUUUCAAACCACACUGCAAGGAUGUGGAGCCCAGCCUCAUCCCUCAGCCCCUUUUCCUUGCCAUCUUCCCCUAGCAGAAGAGGCCACAAACCGGCACCAGGCUGACAAACUGCCACCUUUUCUUGUGCUGAUGCAGUUGAUGGCUGAGCAGUACAUCUACCUGGACAGGGGAUGUUCAGUGCCACGGGGCAGACAGGGCCGAGCUGCUCCAGCCUCACAGCGCUGGCAGUGUCCUUGAAUGCCUGCACGGAGCCUCCACCACAUGGCCUGCUGCUUCCAAGCAUCUCCCCCUUCUCCCUGUCUGGAUGGGGAACUUGGAGAUGGAACAGGAUAUUGCGGGGUUCUGCAGCCCAGAGGCAGAGGAGAGAGGAACGCAGCUGCGCCAAGCCCAUGGGCAGCAGCCCCAGUGGGAUUCAGGGGCCCGGUGGCACAGAGGAUGGGGAUGGUAGCAGGUCCCCCAGGCUAAUUCCAUUUUGGCUGUCCUGGCCUCAGUGCCACUUCCAAAGGCCCCUCCUGGCUCCUGCAGGCUCCCUUCUGGUGCAGCACCAACACCAAACUCACCACAUGCAGGCAGCUUCCCAGGCUCUGAAAUGCAGGGUCUCACCAAGGACAGGAGAGUCCAAAAGGCUGUGCCAAGCAGCAUGACUGAGACUGAAACUGCUGUAAGCCUCAUUAAUCACUUGUAAAUGCACUGUACUCCAAAUAAGGUCAGAAACAAUAAAUUUAAUUUUGACUCUGACUCGA
Molecule: long non-coding RNA, 3530 nt
Organism: Oxyura jamaicensis (ruddy duck)
Lineage: Eukaryota; Metazoa; Chordata; Aves; Anseriformes; Anatidae
Exons: 2
Source: RefSeq, a predicted model, not a curated record